Molecule: long non-coding RNA, 505 nt
Filed under: Populus trichocarpa (black cottonwood)
Lineage: Eukaryota; Viridiplantae; Streptophyta; Magnoliopsida; Malpighiales; Salicaceae
Description: long non-coding RNA (PTRI_LNC002359)
Source: RNAcentral
AUAUUGAUACACGAGGGAUGAUAUAAUGAAUCCACGUAAUCUGUAUCCCAAUCCGUAUCGGAUUCGUAUAUUAUACGUCUAACAAUAACCAACAAACAAGUAUAUUUUUCUAUAAAAACCUCUCCUUUGCCAAGGCAUCGCCAUUACCUGAUUUUCAAUCCAACAAUGUCUCUCAACCUCUCUCUCUUUCUCAUCCUCUCUCUCUUCUUUAUCUCCGCUAUUUCUGCGGAGACAUUCAACGGUGAUGAUUCCCUGAUCAGACAAGUAGUUGAAGGUCAGGAUGAAUCAUCAUCAAACCUGUUGACCGCAGAGCAGCAUCACUUCUCGCUAUUCAAGAGAAAAUUCAAGAAAUCAUACCUUUCACAAGAAGAGCAUGAUUACCGGUUUUCCGUAUUCAAGUCUAAUCUGAGACGCGCGGCGCGUCAUCAGAAAUUGGACCCAACAGCGAGUCAUGGUGUGACUCAGUUCUCCGAUUUGACUUCGGCUGAGUUUAGAAAGCAGGUUU